This 472-nucleotide ribosomal RNA is filed under the name uncultured bacterium. RNAcentral describes it as "bacterial SSU rRNA". It matches the Rfam family "Bacterial small subunit ribosomal RNA", at positions 32 to 506 of the family's 1533-position model. The record is from RNAcentral.
UCAACGCUGGCGGCGUGCCUAACACAUGCAAGUCGAGCGAGAAAAGGGGAGCAAUCCUCUGAGUAAAGCGGCGCACGGGUGAGUAACACGUGGGUAAUCUGCCCUGGAGUGGGGAAUAACACCGGGAAACCGGUGCUAAUACCGCAUACGAUCACGAUGUCUGCGGACGUUGUGAUGAAAGGAGCAAUUCGCUCCAGGAGGAGCCCGCGGCUGAUUAGCUAGUUGGUGAGGUAAUGGCUCACCAAGGCUACGAUCAGUAUCCGGUCUGAGAGGACGGUCGGACACACUGGAACUGAGACACGGUCCAGACUCCUACGGGAGGCAGCAGUGGGGAAUUUUUGGCAAUGGGGGCAACCCUGACCAAGCAACGCCGCGUGGAUGAUGAAGUCUCUUGGGACGUAAAAUCCUUUCGACGGGGACGAAAACCGCAAGGUUUGACGGUACCCGUAGAAGAAGCCCCGGCUAACUCCGU